UCAUUUUAAAUAGUUUUUGAUAUUCAAAAAAUACAAAAAUAUUUUCCUAACCUGUUUGAAUGAUGAUGGAUCUAUGAAAAAUAUUCUCAUCAAUUUUCUAAUUGAUUUGAGAUUUAUUUGAGAUUUUAGUUCAAUUAGGUUAUUUAUAUUCAUUUUUAAUUGAUUAAAAAUAGUUUCUGACUUUUAAAAAUGCUGAAAUUUUUUGUCAAACUUUGUUUGACCUUGUUGAACUUGGGAUAAAUCACUUGGACCUUUC
RNAcentral lists this long non-coding RNA (256 nucleotides) under Lathyrus oleraceus (garden pea). RNAcentral describes it as "Pisum sativum (pea) long non-coding RNA (PSAT_LNC006273)". Lineage: Eukaryota; Viridiplantae; Streptophyta; Magnoliopsida; Fabales; Fabaceae. The record is from RNAcentral.